Molecule: ribosomal RNA, 449 nt
Filed under: uncultured bacterium
Lineage: Bacteria
Description: partial 16S ribosomal RNA
Rfam family: Bacterial small subunit ribosomal RNA
Source: RNAcentral
AACGAACGCUGGCGGCAUGCCUAAUACAUGCAAGUCGAACGAGAUCUUCGGAUCUAGUGGCGCACGGGUGCGUAACGCGUGGGAAUCUGCCCUUGGGUUCGGAAUAACUUCGGGAAACUGAAGCUAAUACCGGAUGAUGACGUAAGUCCAAAGAUUUAACGCCCAAGGAUGAGCCCGCGUAGGAUUAGCUAGUUGGUAAGGUAAAGGCUUACCAAGGCGACGAUUCUUAGCUGGUCUGAGAGGAGGAUCAGCCACACUGGGACUGAGACACGGCCCAGACUCCUACGGGAGUCAGCAGUAGGGAAUAUUGGACAAUGGGGGCAACCCUGAUCCAGCAAUGCCGCGUGAGUGAUGAAGGCCUUCGGGUUGUAAAGCUCUUUUACCCGGGAUGAUAAUGACAGUACCGGGAGAAUAAGCCCCGGCUAACUCCGUGCCAGCAGCCGCCGUAA